AAACCCAGUCAAUGGGAAAAGAGAUACCUUGUUGAUGGUGUGCUAUCACAUCAGUCAGGGACAGAGCAAAUGGCAGUCCUUUGUUCAUCCUAGCUUGACGCCUGGCUUGGUGGCCAAAGCUGUCUCAUACCUAGGACUCAUAA
Molecule: small nucleolar RNA, 143 nt
Organism: Acomys russatus (golden spiny mouse)
Lineage: Eukaryota; Metazoa; Chordata; Mammalia; Rodentia; Muridae
Product: small nucleolar RNA SNORA48
Exons: 1
Source: RefSeq, a predicted model, not a curated record